UUAGAGUUUGAUCCUGGCUCAGGAUGAACGCUAGCGACAGGCCUAACACAUGCAAGUCGAGGGGCAGCGAGACGUAGCAAUACGUUGUCGGCGACCGGCGCACGGGUGAGUAACGCGUAUGCAACCAGCCCAUAAUUACGGGAUAGCCUUCUGAAAGGGAGAUUAAUAUCGUAUGUGCUAUAUAGGAUGCAUAUUUUAUAUAGUAAAGAUUUAUCGAUUAUGGACGGGCAUGCGUAACAUUAGAUAGUUGGUGAGGCUAUGGCUUACCAAGUCGAAGAUGUUUAGGGGUCUUGAGAGGGAGGUCCCCCACACCGGUACUGAGACACGGACCGGACUCCUACGGGAGGCAGCAGUGAGGAAUAUUGGUCAAUGGGCGAGAGCCUGAACCAGCCAAGUCGCGUGAAGGAUGAAUGUAUUAUGUAUUGUAAACUUCUUUUAUACGGGGAUAAAGUGUGUCUUGCGAGACAUAUUGCAGGUACCGUAAGAAAAAGCAUCGGCUAACUCCGUGCCAGCAGCCGCGGUAAUACGGGGGAUGCGAGCGUUAUUCGGAAUUAUUGGGUUUAAAGGGUGCGUAGGCGGUGACGCAAGUCAGUGGUGAAAUGUCUGGGCUUAACCGAGGAAUUGCCAUUGAAACUGUGUUACUUGAGUGCAAUAAAGGUAGGCGGAAUUUGUUGUGUAGCGGUGAAAUGCAUAGAUAUGACAAAGAACUCCGAUUGCGAAGGCAGCUUACUAGUUUGCGACUGACGCUGAGGCACGAAAGUGUGGGUAUCGAACAGGAUUAGAUACCCUGGUAGUCCACACAGUAAACGAUGA
Molecule: ribosomal RNA, 813 nt
Filed under: uncultured bacterium
Lineage: Bacteria
Description: bacterial SSU rRNA
Rfam family: Bacterial small subunit ribosomal RNA
Source: RNAcentral